AGGACGAACGCUGGCGGCGUGCUUAACACAUGCAAGUCGAGCGGUAAGGCCUUUCGGGGUACACGAGCGGCGAACGGGUGAGUAACACGUGGGUGAUCUGCCCUGCACUCUGGGAUAAGCUUGGGAAACUGGGUCUAAUACCGGAUAUGACCACAGUGCGCAUGUGUUGGUGGUGGAAAGUAUUUAUCGGUGCGAGGAUGGGCCCGCGGCCUAUCAGUCUUGGUUGGUGGGUAAUGGCCUACCAAGGCGACGACGGGUA
This 259-nucleotide ribosomal RNA is filed under the name uncultured soil bacterium. Its description in RNAcentral is "partial 16S ribosomal RNA". It matches the Rfam family "Bacterial small subunit ribosomal RNA", at positions 26 to 285 of the family's 1533-position model. The record is from RNAcentral.